GCUCUAAACAGGUGGGGCUCUAAACAGGUGGGGCUCUAAACAGGUGGGGCUCUAAACAGGUGGGGCUCUAAACAGGUGGGGCUCUAAACAGGUGGUGCUCUAAACAGGUGGGGCUCUAAACAGGUGGUGCUCUAAACAGGUGGUGCUAAGAACAGUUUGGGCUCAGAACAGGUGGGGGAUCAGCACAGGUGGGGCUCUAAACAGGUGGGGCUCUAAACAGGUGGGGCUCUAAACUGGUGGGGCUCUAAACAGGUGGGGCUCUGAACAGGUGGGGCUCUGAACAGGUGGGGCUCUGAACAGGUGGUGCUCUGAACAGGUGGGUUCUGAACAGGUGGGGCUCUGAACAGGUGGGGCUCUAAACAGGUGGG
Long non-coding RNA from Oncorhynchus tshawytscha (Chinook salmon), 368 nucleotides. Lineage: Eukaryota; Metazoa; Chordata; Actinopteri; Salmoniformes; Salmonidae. The record is from Ensembl.